GUGGGGAAUCUUGCGCAAUGGGCGAAAGCCUGACGCAGCCAUGCCGCGUGAAUGAUGAAGGUCUUAGGAUUGUAAAAUUCUUUCACCGGGGACGAUAAUGACGGUACCCGGAGAAGAAGCUCCGGCUAACUUCGUGCCAGCAGCCGCGGUAAUACGAAGGGGGCUAGCGUUGCUCGGAAUUACUGGGCGUAAAGGGCGCGUAGGCGGACAGCUUAGUCAGAGGUGAGAGCCAAGGGCUUAACCUUUGUAUUGCCUUUGAUACUGGCUGUCUUGAGUUUGGGAGAGGUGAGUGGAACUCCGAGUGUAGAGGUGAAAUUCGUAGAUAUUCGGAAGAACACCAGUGGCGAAGGCGACUCACUGGCCCAAUACUGACGCUGAGGCGCGAAAGCGUGGGGAGCAAACAGGAUUAGAUACCCUGGUAGUCC
This 425-nucleotide ribosomal RNA is filed under the name uncultured bacterium. RNAcentral's name for it is "partial 16S ribosomal RNA". It matches the Rfam family "Bacterial small subunit ribosomal RNA", at positions 354 to 796 of the family's 1533-position model. The record is from RNAcentral.